GACGAACGCUGGCGGCGUGCUUAACACAUGCAAGUCGAACGGAAAGGCCCUGCUUUUGUGGGGUGCUCGAGUGGCGAACGGGUGAGUAACACGUGAGUAACCUGCCCUUGACUUUGGGAUAACUUCAGGAAACUGGGGCUAAUACCGGAUAGGAGCUCCUGCUGCAUGGGGGGGGUUGGAAAGUUUCGGCGGUUGGGGAUGGACUCGCGGCUUAUCAGCUUGUUGGUGGGGUAGUGGCUUACCAAGGCUUUGACGGGUAGCCGGCCUGAGAGGGUGACCGGCCACAUUGGGACUGAGAUGAGGCCCAGAUUCCUACGGGAGGCAGCAGUGGGGAAUAUUGCACAAUGGGCGGAAGCCUGAUGCAGAAACGCCGCGUGCGGGAUGACGGCCUUCGGGUUGUAAACCGCUUUCGCCUGUGACGAAGCGUGAGUGACGGUAAUGGGUAAAGAAGCACCGGCUAACUACGUG
This 468-nucleotide ribosomal RNA is filed under the name uncultured bacterium. Its description in RNAcentral is "partial 16S ribosomal RNA". It matches the Rfam family "Bacterial small subunit ribosomal RNA", at positions 28 to 507 of the family's 1533-position model. The record is from RNAcentral.